RNAcentral lists this ribosomal RNA (498 nucleotides) under uncultured bacterium. Its description in RNAcentral is "partial 16S ribosomal RNA". It matches the Rfam family "Bacterial small subunit ribosomal RNA", at positions 28 to 508 of the family's 1533-position model. The record is from RNAcentral.
GAUGAACGCUGGCGGCGUGCCUAAUACAUGCAAGUCGAGCGAACAGACGAGGAGCUUGCUCCUUUGACGUUAGCGGCGGACGGGUGAGUAACACGUAGGUAACCUACCUAUAAGACUGGGAUAACUUCGGGAAACCGGAGCUAAUACCGGAUAAUAUUUCGAACCGCAUGGUUCGAUAGUGAAAGAUGGCUUUGCUAUCACUUAUAGAUGGACCUGCGCCGUAUUAGCUAGUUGGUAAGGUAACGGCUUACCAAGGCAACGAUACGUAGCCGACCUGAGAGGGUGAUCGGCCACACUGGAACUGAGACACGGUCCAGACUCCUACGGGAGGCAGCAGUAGGGAAUCUUCCGCAAUGGGCGAAAGCCUGACGGAGCAACGCCGCGUGAGUGAUGAAGGUCUUCGGAUCGUAAAACUCUGUUAUUAGGGAAGAACAAACGUGUAAGUAACGGUGCACGUCCUGACGGUACCUAAUCAGAAAGCCACGGCUAACUACGUGC